Betta splendens (Siamese fighting fish) is the source of this 2264-nucleotide long non-coding RNA. RefSeq lists it as uncharacterized. The transcript has 3 exons. The record is from RefSeq and is a predicted model, not a curated record. NCBI's taxonomy places the organism in Eukaryota, Metazoa, Chordata, Actinopteri, Anabantiformes, Osphronemidae.
CACAAGCCAGAGUUUUAUCCUCCGCAGAAACACUAAAACCAAAGUUUCAAGCAAGAUGUCUGUUUUCACAGGCCGCCGGAGCCAGUGCGGACCUGCCAAGCACACAGAACCAGGACCAGAUCCACCUGCUAGUGCAGCGGCCCCGCCAAGCAGACGAGCCCACCAGUGAAGCGUGCUGGACCGUCCAAGAACAGGCAGAGAGACGGGCAAACCUGCCAGCGGGUAGUUCUAGUUUUCCCAACAGAACCUCAGUCGGGACCUGGACGAGCAUGUGAGAACUGGACCUGAAAGGGCUGCUAAUCAGGCUGCCUGAGACAAGGUAAGAACACCAGAACCAACGUGGAGGCUGCGACCCCGGCCGCUCCCUCGUGGGCCGGGGCCCCCUGGGGACGCGACCUCCUGGCGCCGAGCCGCUCCGACAGCAGCUGCGUCAGCGCCCGUCAUCGUGACGCAUUCCAGUGACAGUGUCUCCUGCUGAGCGACGGCCAGAAGGAGGGCGGCCGGGAGCGGAAUGAGCACAGGCGCAUGCGGGAGCUGCUGUUUUCCUGGGGAACGGUCUCCAAAAGACCCUCGCCGCCGUCGAGGACAGCCACGUUGACGCAUACGUUGGGGGAAUUUACUUCCUGGGAGUUUUUCUGACCCGCCCAGUGCUGAAAUGUGACAGACUGGCUGUUCAUUAGGCAGAACAGAUACUGUGGGUAGUUAUUGCUGCUAUUAGACGUUACGGCAUAUAAUUAUGUAAUAGGGGCUGUUUACUAUGUUAUGCCAUGCAGAGGAGCCCUCCGCUCCACGUCAGCAGUAAUGAAUAGCUGCUGAUUUGAAGCCACCACACGGACUGUGUUCCUCCAGUGGCUUCGUUCCAUUCAUUUCCCCAUGAAAUGAAUGGAUUAGGACAGCAGCGUGCAGCGGCCGCAUUUAAAGCGAGGGCGGCGAGGGUCAAGUGGCGUGCGCUGGGCGGCCCGCGCCGCCAGGACCUCACCGUAACCUCGUUUGGACCGGGAGCGGAUGAACAGGCUGCCACAGCGCCACCUGGCGACCGACUGGGGCCGAACCGCGGAGCGGCAGCGCGCAGAUGUGCUCGCGUUCGCGGGGAGAGGCUGCGGCUGCAGCGGGCUGGAGGUCCGGCAUCUCCGCGUUCACGCUCUCCCACGCAGACGUGUGCAGGCUCUGCUCACACCUCCUGACAUAUUUACACAUCUGCGUCCGCCGCGGACGCAUUCUGGUCGACAGCCGCUCCCUGUUCAGCACCGUGAGGGAGACGCAGGACGCAGGAGAGGAUGGGACGUGCGUGAGCGAGAGGAGCGAGCGGAGCGGAGCGUACAGACUGUUCCCCUCUGUUACCUAGCAACCCUCGCAGCCUGAUGCCAUCCAGACUAUUUCACUCACGCUGCGCAUCGGCUCUGGGAGACGACACGAAGCCCAGUGAGACCAGGGUUCAGGAGCUGAUGGAAACUGCAGCGUGACACAGACCCACGGUACCUUGGCGUGCAGUUGCUGCUGAUGUAUGUUCCUGGCGGCGAUCAUGGCCAGCUGUCUCUGGAUCCACUGCAGCUCCAUCUGAGACUGUCUCAGCAGCUCCUCCACAUUAGCACCCGACGUGUGAUCCCGCAUUAUCACCUAGAAGACCCACAGAUUACAAACACAGCACAACACUCGCUCGCGUGGAAAAACUAACUGCAGGAUUAAGCAGCUCCUUCUGCCCGUGUGUCCCUGAGCCUCAGCCAAACGCUCAAACAGCUUCUCCACGCUGACUCACCUUGGACAGCCUCUAUUUCCUUGCCGGCGACUGUGGAGGAUGAGAAGAGACACAACAACAACAACAACAACAGUGAGAGCAAAAACAGACAGAGCUCAGGGCUCCUGUAGAUUUCUAGAGAAACGUCUCGUCCUGCCAGGAUCUCUGUGAGCCCACAGUGCUCCCAGAUUUAUCUGUCGGACGGCAGCCUACGUCACUAUCCAGGCCGGAAUGUGGGGUUUCUCAUUUGCCCUUAAUUAUUCCAUCAAUCAAUUUAUUCCAUGGUAGCACUGCUUUAUUUAAAGUAGGACACUACUGUCACAGCUUCACAUCAGCUUGAAUCAUCUUUUGCUGUUGUUUAGGUCAGACAGAAACAAGAGUAAUUAUUAAAAAGGCCUGCCUAAAGUCUGCCCUUCGCUACAUUAACACAUGUAGUUACAGAUAAAGUUCAGGCCUUUACCUAUAGACACCAAACACAACAUACGAUGAACAGCUUUAAAGUUCCUGGUUCAUAUUUAUUACCCUGAGA